CCAACGGGUGGCAGCAGUGGGGAAUAUUGGGCAAUGGGCGCAAGCCUGACCCAGCAACGCCGCGUGAGGGAAGAAGGCUUUCGGGUUGUAAACCUCUGUCCUUGGUGACGAAAAAAAUGACGGUAGCCCAGGAGGAAGCCCCGGCUAACUACGUGCCAGCAGCCGCGGUAAUACGUAGGGGGCGAGCGUUGUCCGGAAUUACUGGGCGUAAAGGGUGCGCAGGUGGCCUUUUAAGUUGGAUGUGAAAUACCCGGGCUUAACUUGGGGGGUGCAUCUAAUACUGGAGGGCUAGAGUGCAGGAGAGGAAAGCGGAAUUCCUAGUGUAGCGGUGAAAUGCGUAGAUAUUAGGAGGAACACCAGUGGCGAAGGCGGCUUUCUGGACUGUAACUGACACUGAGGCACGAAAGCGUGGGGAGCAAACA
This 422-nucleotide ribosomal RNA is filed under the name uncultured prokaryote. RNAcentral's name for it is "bacterial SSU rRNA". It matches the Rfam family "Bacterial small subunit ribosomal RNA", at positions 338 to 774 of the family's 1533-position model. The record is from RNAcentral.